GACGAACGCUGGCGGCGUGCUUAACACAUGCAAGUCGAACGGGAAGGCCCUGCUUUUGUGGGGUGCUCGAGUGGCGAACGGGUGAGUAACACGUGAGUAACCUGCCCUUGACUUUGGGAUAACUUCAGGAAACUGGGGCUAAUACCGGAUAGGAGCUCCUGCUGCAUGGUGGGGGUUGGAAAGUUUCGGCGGUUGGGGAUGGACUCGCGGCUUAUCAGCUUGUUGGUGGGGUAGUGGCUUACCAAGGCUUUGACGGGUAGCCGGCCUGAGAGGGUGACCGGCCACAUUGGGACUGAGAUACGGCCCAGACUCCUACGGGAGGCAGCAGCGGGGAAUAUUGCACAAUGGGCGGAAGCCUGAUGCAGCAACGCCGCGUGCGGGAUGACGGCCUUCGGGUUGUAAACCGCUUUCGCCUGUGACGAAGCGUGAGUGACGGUAAUGGGUAAAGAAGCACCGGCUAACUACGUG
Molecule: ribosomal RNA, 468 nt
Filed under: uncultured bacterium
Lineage: Bacteria
Description: partial 16S ribosomal RNA
Rfam family: Bacterial small subunit ribosomal RNA
Source: RNAcentral